CUGGCUUGCUAGGAGUGUUUUUUUUAUUCUUCGCAGUAGCAGCUCCAUCAGGAAGUGUGUGCGCACUGCAAUUCCGUCCCCUGAAAGAGGAGCUCGCAGUCCAACAUAUUAAUAAGAGGCUCAUUUGAAAGGUGACUUUUACUGCUAGUAAAGGAGGCGUCCUUGCUGCCCUGAGGUGUCAUCAAGCCCGGAGGUGACGGCAGUGAUGAAGGUGACAAAGCAACUCCAGCGCGGCGCAGUUGGAGGUGGCUGUACCACCACGGAGAACCAGCUGAGAGUGACCUUUCUGCAUUGUUCCACCAAUGCAUCAGACUUGAUAAGUGGCCCAGAGAGGGCGAGCACAGGGGGCGACGCUGCCUUUAUACGCAGCCUCCCCCCUCCUUUCCUUACCAGAAAGCCCGUGUGAUGAGCCCAUUAUUGUCUCUCACGUGGGAUAAUGUACCCGGUCAGGCUGAUAUGAGGGGAGUGGAUGACCUUUUCAUUCUGAACAUUAAUGCUACCUUUUAGGUGAGUUUUAGGGCAUGAGUUGGUGCACAGGACAAGACACCUGCCACCUGCCUGGUGGAAUAUCCUGUGGCAGGCUGCGUGUUUAUUUUUUCGUCAUGUUUAAUGAGGUAAAAAUAUUGCACUCGGAUGCCCUCCACUUUUAUUACUUUCUACUGUGGAAUUUACCUUUAUUAAAAAAAAGGCAAAAUGUCUUGAGGCAAAUUAGGCUCAUUUUUGAUGUCACUGGUGUUGGAGUAGUAUUUCACUUUUUAAAAAAUGCUUUACUGCACUGGAGCACAUUAGGGCAGGCUGAGGCUGGCUUUUUUUGCCCUCAGAGACUAUGGUGUCAUUUAAGGUUUUUUGAAGCAUGAGGAUCAUACUUUAGUUCAUGUUAGAAUGAGGCUGAUAAUAUGUCACACCUAUAGAUGUCAAGAAUGACAAUACUAUGACACUGAAAAGGGUGAUUUGUUGUUAACUGAAUUGCUUCAGCUGGUAACAAACAACUGAAUUAAGUUCAUCAGGAUUAAGUUACCAACUAAUAGCACUGACACAGUUUUAAGUUAGACGUUCUUAAAUUAUUUGAUUCCUCUCAGAUGAACAGUUUGCGCUGCUCCAAUUUCAUUUUAAAGGAAGUCAACUUGAAGUUUCUAAUUUUCUAAGUUACAUGUAAAAUGUAAAAACAUGAUCUUGUUGUUAGACUUUCUUUUUCUGUAAUUUUAAUCCUACUCAAAGAUCUAUCUAUCUAUCUAUCUAUCUAUCUAUCUAUCUAUCUAUCUAUCUAUCUAUCUAUCUAUCUAUCUAUCUAUCUAUCUAUCUAUCUAUCUAUCUAUCUAAGGCUAAAGGAAGAUGAUUUGCAGGUCAAUUGAGACUCAGAGGGGUGCUUGCU
Molecule: long non-coding RNA, 1372 nt
Organism: Amphiprion ocellaris (clown anemonefish)
Lineage: Eukaryota; Metazoa; Chordata; Actinopteri; Pomacentridae
Exons: 3
Source: RefSeq, a predicted model, not a curated record